AUUGAACGCUGGCGGCAGGCCUAACACAUGCAAGUCGAGCGAGCGGCGGACGGGUGAGUAAUGUAUGGGAAACUGCCCGAUGGAGGGGGAUAACUACUGGAAACGGUAGCUAAUACCGCAUACUAUCAGAUGACCCCAGAUGGGAUUAGCUAGUAGUUGGGGUAAUGGCUCACCUAGGCGACGAUCCCUAGCUGGUCUGAGAGGAUGACCAGCCACACUGGGACUGAGACACGGCCCAGACUCCGACGGGAGGCAGCAGUGGGGAAUAUUGCACAAUGGGCGCAAGCCUGAUGCAGCCAUGCCGCGUGUAUGAAGAAGGCCUUCGGGUUGUAAAGCACUUUCAGCGGGGAGGCGUUACCCACAGAAGAAGCACCGGCUAACUCCGUGCCAGCAGCCGCGGUAAUUC
This 406-nucleotide ribosomal RNA is filed under the name uncultured bacterium. RNAcentral describes it as "partial 16S ribosomal RNA". It matches the Rfam family "Bacterial small subunit ribosomal RNA", at positions 30 to 526 of the family's 1533-position model. The record is from RNAcentral.